GCAGUGGUGAUUCAGUGGUAGAUUUCUCACCUUCCAAGCAAGAGACUCGGGUUUGAUUCCAGGCCAAUGCA
Molecule: transfer RNA, 71 nt
Filed under: Loxodonta africana (African savanna elephant)
Lineage: Eukaryota; Metazoa; Chordata; Mammalia; Proboscidea; Elephantidae
Rfam family: tRNA
About the family: Transfer RNA (tRNA) molecules are approximately 80 nucleotides in length.
Source: Rfam by way of RNAcentral